RNAcentral lists this transfer RNA (138 nucleotides) under Cordylochernes scorpioides. RNAcentral's name for it is "tRNA-Gly". Lineage: Eukaryota; Metazoa; Arthropoda; Arachnida; Pseudoscorpiones; Chernetidae. The record is from RNAcentral.
GCUUUUGGUUCAGUGGUAGAAUACUCGCCUGCCACGCCGGGUUCGAUUCCCGGCCGAUGCAUUUUUUUUUUACAAUUUUUAAAACUUAUUUAUAUAUUAUAGUGGCGGGCGCCCCGGGUUCGAUUCCCGACCUAUGCA